RNAcentral lists this transfer RNA (74 nucleotides) under Prevotella sp. RNAcentral describes it as "tRNA-Cys". It matches the Rfam family "tRNA". Rfam says of the family: Transfer RNA (tRNA) molecules are approximately 80 nucleotides in length. Their secondary structure includes four short double-helical elements and three loops (D, anti-codon, and T loops). Lineage: Bacteria; Pseudomonadati; Bacteroidota; Bacteroidia; Bacteroidales; Prevotellaceae. The record is from RNAcentral. RNAcentral also lists the same sequence under 2 other names.
GGUACCUUGGCCGAGCGGUUAGGUAACGGUCUGCAAAACCGUGUAGAGCAGUUCGACUCUGCUAGGUACCUCCA